Carassius carassius (crucian carp) is the source of this 762-nucleotide long non-coding RNA. RefSeq lists it as uncharacterized. Lineage: Eukaryota; Metazoa; Chordata; Actinopteri; Cypriniformes; Cyprinidae. The transcript is spliced from 6 exons. The record is from RefSeq and is a predicted model, not a curated record.
UGCAACAGUAAACAGCAAAACAAGCUGUUUGUACAGCUAAUAUAGCUGGAAUGACACCGAAAGCCAGACACAUUAAAUUUACAAAUGGCCGCGCCCCCUCUUACAGAAAAAAAAAAUAAGGGGCAUAUGUUUAUUCAUGUUUAUUUAUGUAACGUAAGCGUGUGACUUUUAAUUCGUGACGUGCUUUCAUGGGCGUGCGCGCGGACCGGAUGGAGUUGCCAUGGAAACGGAGCCCAACACUGCAAAUGUCACGAGGAAACACCCCGUUUCUCGCUGAUUUCACUGUUUUCAGAAUGGUUUAAUGUCUUCGAAAAAGUCCGUUAGCAUUUCUACCGUUUUCAGACGACGUAUCGUCAGAAGGGAGUGUCCAAGAUUUCAAUAUUUCUGAAGGGAGCUGCUGACAGAUAUGUAGGAAGCGCUGAAAAGGUUAAUGCUUCUUCAUGGCCUGCUGCAUCCAGCAGAGUCGGAGUGAACCUACUGUAAGACAACAUCUCAAAGAUGCUAUUUACCACAAGACUAGUACAGGUUAUUAGAAACUGCACAGCACAGGACUUGCAGGACUUGUGAGGACUUCAGAUGAUACCAGUACUCAAAAGACCUUAGAUGAUGGCAACUAUAGAUGGACAUACAAACUACCGCCACUGCAAAAAAGAUUCUAAUUUGAAAGAAGUUUAUAAUGCAUGUUCGCUACUCCCAAUUCAGAAGACUGAAUCAGCCGGUGUAUCUGAAUGUUUCUCAUACUCACUCCUCUCUGCCGCGUCU